AUUGAACGCUGGCGGCAUGCCUUACACAUGCAAGUCGAACGGUAACGCGGGGCAACCUGGCGACGAGUGGCGAACGGGUGAGUAAUGCAUCGGAACGUGCCCAGUAGUGGGGGAUAGCCCGGCGAAAGCCGGAUUAAUACCGCAUACGACCUACGGGUGAAAGCGGGGGACUCGCAAGAGCCUCGCGCUAUUGGAGCGGCCGAUGUCAGAUUAGCUGGUUGGUGGGGUAAAAGCCUACCAAGGCGACGAUCUGUAGCUGGUCUGAGAGGACGACCAGCCACACUGGGACUGAGACACGGCCCAGACUCCUACGGGUGGCUG
Molecule: ribosomal RNA, 321 nt
Filed under: uncultured Pseudomonadota bacterium
Lineage: Bacteria; Pseudomonadati; Pseudomonadota
Description: bacterial SSU rRNA
Rfam family: Bacterial small subunit ribosomal RNA
Source: RNAcentral